AGCAGUAGCCAUAUCACCCUGUAGCCCAAGACUGGUUGCCAACUGAAUCUAAGCAGGGUUGAGCCUGGUCAGUACAUGGAUUGCAGACCUGCUGGGAAAACUAUAGGUUGCUGAUGGAA
Sinocyclocheilus grahami is the source of this 119-nucleotide ribosomal RNA. NCBI's taxonomy places the organism in Eukaryota, Metazoa, Chordata, Actinopteri, Cypriniformes, Cyprinidae. The record is from Ensembl.